CCUACGGGAGGCAGCAGUAGGGAAUCUUUCACAAUGGGCGAAAGCCUGAUGGAGCAACGCCGCGUGCAGGAUGAAGGCCUUCGGGUUGUAAACUGCUUUUAUAGCGAGAAAUAUGAUGGUAACUUAUGAAUAAGGAUCGGCUAACCACGUGCCAGCAGCCGCGGUCAUACGUAGGAUCCGAGCAUUAUCCGGAGUGACUGGGUGUAAAGAGUUGCGUAGGUGGCAUAAUAAGUAGCUAGUGAAAUCUGGUGGCUCAACCAUUCAGACUAUUAGCUAAACUGUUAAGCUCGAGACCGUUAGGGGUAACUGGAAUUUCUAGUGUAGGAGUGAAAUCCGUAGAUAUUAGAAGGAACACCAAUAGCGUAGGCAGGUUGCUGGGACGGUUCUGACACUAAGGCACGAAAGCGUAGGGAGCAAACGGGAUUAGAUACCCCAGUAGUC
RNAcentral lists this ribosomal RNA (441 nucleotides) under uncultured bacterium. Its description in RNAcentral is "partial 16S ribosomal RNA". It matches the Rfam family "Bacterial small subunit ribosomal RNA", at positions 338 to 795 of the family's 1533-position model. The record is from RNAcentral.